Molecule: non-coding RNA, 107 nt
Organism: Caerostris darwini
Lineage: Eukaryota; Metazoa; Arthropoda; Arachnida; Araneae; Araneidae
Source: the annotation of a GenBank genome assembly
CCGUACCAUGCUGAAUAUACCGGUUCUCGUUAGAUCACCGAAGUCAAGCAUCAUUGGGCGCGGUCAGUACUUGGGUGGGUGACCAUCUGGGAACACCGCGUGCCGUU